AUGGAUAUGGAACAUGAAAUACCAAAAAAAUUAGGUGUACUUGCUACUCAUGGAGAUGGGGAACCUCCUAAAACCCUCGAUGCUGGUUUUGUGAAAAAUAUUAUGUACUACUUUAAUAAUCCUGAGAAAACCCCAUUCAAUUUUGUAACGGGAGUAAUGUUGGAUCAACGUGAAUACUUUAGGGAUUACCUCUUGACACGAAAAGGGAAACUAUUAUGGGAUCAAAUUCAUAUAUUGAACUGGUAUGCUAGGCAACUAUGCUUGAGAUAUGAUUAUACUUGUUGCUCUAAGGUGAAGGCUCCACACCUUCCCUUUUCAUGUGAAUUUAAUGAUAAUGAAACCUUAGCUUCUUAUGCUAAUGGUAUAUAUGAUUACUAUGAUGUGGAACAAAUAGAAGAAUUUGUUGCUUUUAAGGGUGCUUAUGAAAUUGAAUCUUUGUUUGAAAAGCAUGAAGCUUAUGAUGAUGAUGUUUAUAGGCCUGAAAAUUUAGCUAUAUUAAAAUAUUGCUAUGAUAAUUAUGAAUAUAAUUCCUAUAUUAAUGCGCUUAUUGAGAAAGUCUCUGCUGUCCAAGAAGAGACUAAUAUUUUACAGGAGUCUAUGGAAGAAGAAAUUGAUGAAACUGUGAGCUCAUUGGAUGAAAAAGAUGAGGAGGAGAGCGAAGAACAAAAGGAGGAAGAGCGGAUUAGCUACCCAUUCCCACCUUCUAAUGAGAGUAACUCUUCAACUCAUACAUUGUUUAAUUUCCCUUCGUGCUUACCGGAGGAUGAUUGCUAUGAUGAUUGUUAUGAUCCCGUUGAUUCUUUUGAAAUAUCCCUUUUUGAUGAUGCUUGCUAUGCUUGUGGCCAAGAUGCCAAUAUGAAUUAUGCUUAUGGAGAUGAACUUGCUAUAGUUCCUUAUGUUAAACAUGAAAUUGUUGCUAUUGCACCCACACAUGAUAGUCCUAUUAUCUUUUUGAAUUCUCCAAACUACACUAUAUCGGAGAAGUUUGCUCUUAUUAAUAUUGAUUGGUUGCCUUUUACCAUUGCACAUGAUGAUUUUGAUGAAUAUAAUAUGCAUGUGCUUGCUGCUCCUACUUGCAAUUAUUAUGAGAUAGGAACUAUGUCUCCACCUCUCUAUGUUUCCAAUAUGAUAAAAUUGCAAGAAACUGUUUAUACUAUGCAUUGGCCUUUACUUUGUGUGCAUGAAUUGUUCUUUUAUGACAUGCUGAUGCAUAGGAAGAGAGUUAGACUUAGUUGUUGCAUGAUAUAUGUUACUUUGUGCUCACCACUAAAUUACAAAUCAUUGUUAAUUAAAAUUGGCUUUGAUAUACCUUGGGAUCCGGGUGGAUCCAUUACUUGA
Molecule: ribosomal RNA, 1338 nt
Filed under: Triticum aestivum (bread wheat)
Lineage: Eukaryota; Viridiplantae; Streptophyta; Magnoliopsida; Poales; Poaceae
Description: partial small subunit ribosomal RNA
Source: RNAcentral